AUUGAACGCUGGCGGCAGGCCUAACACAUGCAAGUCGAACGGUAACAGGAAGCAGCUUGCUGCUUUGCUGACGAGUGGCGGACGGGUGCGUAAUGUCUGGGAAACUGCCUGAUGGAGGGGGAUAACUACUGGAAACGGUAGCUAAUACCGCAUAACGUCGCAAGACCAAAGUGGGGGACCUUCGGGCCUCUUGCCAUCGGAUGUGCCCAGAUGGGAUUAGCUAGUAGGUGGGGUAAAGGCUCACCUAGGCGACGAUCCCUAGCUGGUCUGAGAGGAUGACCAGCCACACUGGAACUGAGACACGGUCCAGACUCCUACGGGAGGCAGCAGUGGGGAAUAUUGCACAAUGGGCGCAAGCCUGAUGCAGCCAUGCCGCGUGUAGGAAGAAGGCCUUCGGGUUGUAAAGUACUUUCAGCGGGGAGGAAGGGAGUAAAGUUAAUACCUUUGCUCAUUGACGUUACCCGCAGAAGAAGCACCGGCUAACUCCGUG
This 490-nucleotide ribosomal RNA is filed under the name uncultured bacterium. RNAcentral describes it as "partial 16S ribosomal RNA". It matches the Rfam family "Bacterial small subunit ribosomal RNA", at positions 30 to 507 of the family's 1533-position model. The record is from RNAcentral.